RNAcentral lists this ribosomal RNA (427 nucleotides) under uncultured bacterium. RNAcentral describes it as "bacterial SSU rRNA". It matches the Rfam family "Bacterial small subunit ribosomal RNA", at positions 355 to 774 of the family's 1533-position model. The record is from RNAcentral.
UGGGGAAUUUUGGACAAUGGGCGAAAGCCUGAUCCAGCAAUGCCGCGUGCAGGAUGAAGGCCUUCGGGUUGUAAACUGCUUUUGUACGGAACGAAAAGGUCUGCCCUAAUACGGCGGGCCCAUGACGGUACCGUAAGAAUAAGCACCGGCUAACUACGUGCCAGCAGCCGCGGUAAUACGUAGGGUGCAAGCGUUAAUCGGAAUUACUGGGCGUAAAGCGUGCGCAGGCGGUUAUGUAAGACAGUUGUGAAAUCCCCGGGCUCAACCUGGGAACUGCAUCUGUGACUGCAUAGCUAGAGUACGGUAGAGGGGGAUGGAAUUCCGCGUGUAGCAGUGAAAUGCGUAGAUAUGCGGAGGAACACCGAUGGCGAAGGCAAUCCCCUGGACCUGUACUGACGCUCAUGCACGAAAGCGUGGGGAGCAAACA